CAGCAUGCAAGUGGAGCACCCGGAGACGGAUAUUUGUAACAGUACAUUUCGCAGUCCAGAAUUAAACUACCUUGCUAAAAAAAAGGAUUAAACUAGUACCUAGCCGUCCAGCUUCUCCUACCUGGCUACCUACCUCCUCUUGCUGUUGCUGCUCCUCCUCCUCUCUUCUGAUCCAAAAUAUGCCAUGAGAUAGAUCCGUGGUCCAGGAGCAAGAGGAAGCCCGAGCAUCUGGACGGAUGUGAUGUGCCUCUGCGGGAGGUGCGUACGGGUGAUUUCGCGCUCGCGAGUUGUGGUUUCGCCAUGGCCGGAGUUGUUGAGCUGCGGCUGGAAUGAGAAGCGAAGGUGCAUACGCAAGAAUGGAUGGGGGAAGGGAACACGGUGGAGAUGGCAGCAGCCAUGUGGGAUGCAAGGGCGCAGCGUCAGUAGGGCGUCGUUGGCUUCCAUCUACACCUCUCCGUCUCCGUCCAAGAGGCCCAGGAUCCUCGCUGAACUUGGCGGAUGUAGGCCGCCGUCGAGCCGUCCGAGCGCCCGCUCCCUCUGCACGCACACGUGCAGAUGCUGACCAUGGCGGGGCCGCGCGUCCGGCCGGCCGCGGAGGGGAGCGGCGGCGCAGGACCGGCCGCGGCUGGGAGCAGUGGCGCCGGCCAAGCCUCCCUGUCGAACAUCUGGGCGGGGACGUCGGUGUCUUGCCAGUCUCCUGGCCUCCUAAGCAGCGGGCGGGCCUUGCAGGAGACUGGGAGAGAGAUGAGCGGUGGUAGGAUGAGGAUGACGAUCCUGGGGAAGUGGGGAGUGGUAUAUCGUUGUAAUUUUGCAAUCCAGCUUCUAGGAUUUUUAGGAAUAUGAAAAUCUGGCUUCUUGAAUCUUUGGUAAAAUCUUUGGAUUCCAAACGGGCACGAAGUCAGGGUGGAAUGGAGUAGCGCACGAAGUGAGGAUUCUACUGGUGUCCGUGUGUCGCUUGGCCAGUGUAUUCAGCUGUCACUGUGCUUAUUAGUGCCCAAUCAUGUUUGAAAUAUGUGCAAAUAUGGUUGAAGCAGUAGUUAAUCCAACUAUAUGAUGCAUAUUUUUUUGUGCA
Panicum virgatum (switchgrass) is the source of this 1072-nucleotide long non-coding RNA. RefSeq lists it as uncharacterized. The transcript has 2 exons. The record is from RefSeq and is a predicted model, not a curated record. NCBI's taxonomy places the organism in Eukaryota, Viridiplantae, Streptophyta, Magnoliopsida, Poales, Poaceae.